GUAGGGAAUAUUGGGCAAUGGAGGCAACUCUGACCCAGCCAUGCCGCGUGCAGGAUGACGGCCCUCUGGGUUGUAAACUGCUUUUAUACGGGAAGAAAAAAUACUACGUGUAGUAUACUGACGGUACCGUAAGAAUAAGGAUCGGCUAACUCCGUGCCAGCAGCCGCGGUAAUACGGAGGAUCCAAGCGUUGUCAGGAUUUAUUGGGUUUAAAGGGUGCGUAGGCGGAUCUUUAAGUCAGUGGUGAAAGCCUGAAGCUUAACUGUAGAAUUGCCAUUGAAACUGAAGAUCUUGAAUAUGGUUAAAGUAGGCGGAAUGUAUCAUGUAGCGGUGAAAUGCUUAGAUAUGAUACAGAACACCGAUAGCGAAGGCAGCUUGCUGAACCAUUAUUGACGCUGAGGCACGAAAGCGUGGGGAGCGAACAGGAUUAGAAACCCCUGUAGUCC
Molecule: ribosomal RNA, 445 nt
Filed under: uncultured bacterium
Lineage: Bacteria
Description: partial 16S ribosomal RNA
Rfam family: Bacterial small subunit ribosomal RNA
Source: RNAcentral